GGGGAUUUAGCUCAGUGGUAGAGCGCUUGCCUAGCAAGCGCGAGGCCCUGGGUUCGGUCCCUAGCUCCG
This 69-nucleotide transfer RNA is filed under the name Rattus norvegicus (Norway rat). It matches the Rfam family "tRNA". Rfam says of the family: Transfer RNA (tRNA) molecules are approximately 80 nucleotides in length. Their secondary structure includes four short double-helical elements and three loops (D, anti-codon, and T loops). Further hydrogen bonds mediate the characteristic L-shaped molecular structure. tRNAs have two regions of fundamental functional importance: the anti-codon, which is responsible for specific mRNA codon recognition, and the 3' end, to which the tRNAs corresponding amino acid is attached (by aminoacyl-tRNA synthetases). tRNAs cope with the degeneracy of the genetic code in two manners: having more than one tRNA (with a specific anti-codon) for a particular amino acid; and 'wobble' base-pairing, i.e. permitting non-standard base-pairing at the 3rd anti-codon position. The record is from Rfam by way of RNAcentral. Lineage: Eukaryota; Metazoa; Chordata; Mammalia; Rodentia; Muridae.